Molecule: ribosomal RNA, 397 nt
Filed under: uncultured bacterium
Lineage: Bacteria
Description: bacterial SSU rRNA
Rfam family: Bacterial small subunit ribosomal RNA
Source: RNAcentral
AACGCGAAGAAGCUUACCAAGGCUUGACAUACACCGGAAACGUCUGGAGACAGGCGCCCCCUUGUGGUCGGUGUACAGGUGGUGCAUGGCUGUCGUCAGCUCGUGUCGUGAGAUGUUGGGUUAAGUCCCGCAACGAGCGCAACCCUUGUUCUGUGUUGCCAGCAUGCCCUUCGGGGUGAUGGGGACUCACAGGAGACUGCCGGGGUCAACUCGGAGGAAGGUGGGGACGACGUCAAGUCAUCAUGCCCCUUAUGUCUUGGGCUGCACACGUGCUACAAUGGCCGGUACAAAGAGCUGCGAAACCGUGAGGUGGAGCGAAUCUCAAAAAGCCGGUCUCAGUUCGGAUUGGGGUCUGCAACUCGACCCCAUGAAGUCGGAGUUGCUAGUAAUCGCAGAU